Molecule: transfer RNA, 87 nt
Filed under: Acidobacteriota bacterium
Lineage: Bacteria; Pseudomonadati; Acidobacteriota
Also listed under: 2 other names
Description: Acidobacteria bacterium (activated sludge metagenome) tRNA-Leu
Rfam family: tRNA
About the family: Transfer RNA (tRNA) molecules are approximately 80 nucleotides in length.
Source: RNAcentral
GCGGAUAUGGCGGAAUUGGUAGACGCGCUAGGUUCAGGUCCUAGUGCUCGCAAGGGCAUGGGGGUUCGAGUCCCUCUAUCCGCACCA